This 70-nucleotide transfer RNA is filed under the name Loxodonta africana (African savanna elephant). It matches the Rfam family "tRNA". From Rfam's summary of the family: Transfer RNA (tRNA) molecules are approximately 80 nucleotides in length. Lineage: Eukaryota; Metazoa; Chordata; Mammalia; Proboscidea; Elephantidae. The record is from Rfam by way of RNAcentral.
ACCCUGGUGGCUUAGUGGUUAAGAGUUUGGCUGCUAACCAAAAGUUUGGCAGUUCAAAUCCACCAGGCUC